RNAcentral lists this ribosomal RNA (273 nucleotides) under uncultured prokaryote. RNAcentral describes it as "partial 16S ribosomal RNA". It matches the Rfam family "Bacterial small subunit ribosomal RNA", at positions 524 to 794 of the family's 1533-position model. The record is from RNAcentral.
UACGUAGGUGGCAAGCGUUAUCCGGAAUUACUGGGUGUAAAGGGCGCGCAGGCGGCCCUGCAAGUCGGAUGUGAAAGAUCAAGGCUCAACCUUGACAGGCCAUUCGAAACUGUGGGACUUGAGUGUCAGAGGGGAAAGUGGAAUUCCUAGUGUAGCGGUAAAAUGCGCAGAUAUUAGGAGGAACACCGGUGGCGAAGGCGACUUUCUGACUGACAACUGACGCUGAGGCGCGAAAGACGUGGGGAGGCAAACAGGAUUAGAUACCCCGUACGU